GUGCUUGCUUUAGCUGUACGUAUACUAAAACUGGAACAAUACAGAGAGUAUCAGCAUGGCCCCUGCACAAGGAUGACAUGCAAAUUUGUGAAGCACUGUAUAUUUUU
This is a small nuclear RNA of Hippopotamus amphibius kiboko, 107 nucleotides long. The record is from RefSeq and is a predicted model, not a curated record. NCBI's taxonomy places the organism in Eukaryota, Metazoa, Chordata, Mammalia, Artiodactyla, Hippopotamidae.